Molecule: long non-coding RNA, 485 nt
Filed under: Rattus norvegicus (Norway rat)
Lineage: Eukaryota; Metazoa; Chordata; Mammalia; Rodentia; Muridae
Description: long non-coding RNA NONRATT009024
Source: RNAcentral
UGGUUUUAGCAUAGUUGAGUUUUAAUUGUGGCCAAGCUCAGUCAAUAAGUCACAAGUCCAGAAAAAAAGCUGUUCCUAUUAAAUCUCCCCAGGUCCUUUUACUAAGACGGAAAAACAAGGAAUCAAAGAGGGAGGGGUUGAGGGGGGGGGAAGGAAUUAAAGCCUAGGAAUGGUAGAUAAGCUAUCCCAAAACUUCAAAACUAACACUACGAUUCUAUUUUAAUCAGCUUUUGGCUGGUACCUACUGCUAUAUCACCUAGUAUGACAUUUCGGGAUUAUCGGGACAAUGAAGGAAACUGCACAGAGGGCAAAGAAGGUAGGUUGAAUUUAAAUUUUUCAGUGUAAAAGUGUGGGUUGGGUGGGCACAUUGUCUUAGAAUUUACCUAGUAGCAUAUAGAUAGCUAUGGAAUGCAAUUGUGCCUGGCCUUUUGUGAAAUGCAGGGCUUGUGUGUUACAUGGGCUGUGACUAGAAGUCAUCUACAGAA